UACGUAGGGUGCAAGCGCUGUCCGGAAUUAUUGGGCGUAAAGAGCUUGUAGGUGGUUUGUCGCGUCUGCUGUGAAAAUCCGAGGCUCAACCUCGGACUUGCAGUGGGUACGGGCAGACUAGAGUGUGGUAGGGGAGACUGGAAUUCCUGGUGUAGCGGUGGAAUGCGCAGAUAUCCGGAGGAACCCCGGUGGCGAAGGCAGGUCUUUGGGCCAUUACUGACACUGAGAAGCGAAAGCAUGGGGAGCGAACAGG
This 253-nucleotide ribosomal RNA is filed under the name uncultured bacterium. Its description in RNAcentral is "partial 16S ribosomal RNA". It matches the Rfam family "Bacterial small subunit ribosomal RNA", at positions 524 to 776 of the family's 1533-position model. The record is from RNAcentral.